AUACGUAGGUGACAAGCGUUAAUCGGAAUUACUGGGCGUAAAGCGCACGCAGGCGGUCAACUAAGUCAGAUGUGAAAGCCCCGAGCUUAACUUGGGAAUUGCAUCUGAAACUGGUUGGCUAGAGUCUUGUAGAGGGGGGUAGAAUUCCACGUGUAGCGGUGAAAUGCGUAGAGAUGUGGAGGAAUACCGGUGGCGAAGGCGGCCCCCUGGACAAAGACUGACGCUCAGGUGCGAAAGCGUGGGGAGCAAACAGGAUUAGAUACCCUGGUAGUCCACGCUGUAAACGAUGUCGAUUUAGAGGUUGUGGUCUUGAACUGUGGCUUCUGGAGCUAACGCGUUAAAUCGACCGCCUGGGGAGUACGGCCGCAAGGUUAAAACUCAAAUGAAUUGGCGGGG
RNAcentral lists this ribosomal RNA (396 nucleotides) under uncultured bacterium. RNAcentral's name for it is "partial 16S ribosomal RNA". It matches the Rfam family "Bacterial small subunit ribosomal RNA", at positions 523 to 918 of the family's 1533-position model. The record is from RNAcentral.